ACGCAGUAAACGAUGAAUACUAGCUGUUGGCGAUAUAUGGUCAGCGGUACAGCGAAAGUGUUAAGUAUUCCACCUGGGGAGUACGCCGGCAACGGUGAAACUCAAAGGAAUUGACGGGGGCCCGCACAAGCGGAGGAACAUGUGGUUUAAUUCGAUGAUACGCGAGGAACCUUACCCGGGCUUGAAAGUUAGUGACGAGCGCAGAGACGCGCUUUCCCUUCGGGGCACGAAACUAGGUGCUGCAUGGUUGUCGUCAGCUCGUGCCGUGAGGUGUCGGCUUAAGUGCCAUAACGAGCGCAACCCCUGUCAUUAGUUACCAGCGAAUAAUGUCGGGAACUCUAGCGAGACUGCUACUGUAAGGUAGAGGAGGGUGGGGAUGACGUCAAAUCAGCACGGCCCUUACGUCCGGGGCGACACACGUGUUACAAUGGCAGGUACAGAGGGUUGCUACUUGGCGACAAGAUGCUAAUCUCAUAAAACCUGUCUCAGUUCGGAUUGGAGUCUGCAACUCGACUCCAUGAAGCUGGAUUCGCUAGUAAUCGCGCAUCAGCCAUGGCGCGGUGAAUACGUUCCCGGGCCUUGUACACACCGCCCGUCAAGCCAUGGAAGCCGGGGGUACCUAAAGUCCGUCACCGCGAGGAGCGGCCUAGGGUAAAACUGGUAACUGGGGCU
Molecule: ribosomal RNA, 672 nt
Filed under: uncultured equine intestinal eubacterium sp. PL40
Lineage: Bacteria
Description: bacterial SSU rRNA
Rfam family: Bacterial small subunit ribosomal RNA
Source: RNAcentral